Molecule: ribosomal RNA, 505 nt
Filed under: uncultured bacterium
Lineage: Bacteria
Description: partial 16S ribosomal RNA
Rfam family: Bacterial small subunit ribosomal RNA
Source: RNAcentral
GACGAACGCUGGCGGCGUGCCUAAUACAUGCAGGUAGAACGCACAGUUUAUACCGUAGCUUGCUACACCAUAGACUGUGAGUUGCGAACGGGUGAGUAACGCGUAGGUAACCUGCCUGGUAGCGGGGGAUAACUAUUGGAAACGAUAGCUAAUACCGCAUAAUAUUCAUUAUUGCAUGAUAAUUAAUUGAAAGGUGCAAUUGCACCACUACCAGAUGGACCUGCGUUGUAUUAGCUAGUAGGUGAGGUAACGGCUCACCUAGGCGACGAUACAUAGCCGACCUGAGAGGGUGAUCGGCCACACUGGGACUGAGACACGGCCCAGACUCCUACGGGAGGCAGCAGUAGGGAAUCUUCGGCAAUGGACGAAAGUCUGACCGAGCAACGCCGCGUGAGUGAAGAAGGUUUUCGGAUCGUAAAGCUCUGUUGUAAGAGAAGAACGGGUGUGAGAGUGGAAAGUUCACACUGUGACGGUAUCUUACCAGAAAGGGACGGCUAACUACGUG